GGGUCUUUUCAGCGCGGCCCGGGGAUGUCCGCCCUUCCUUGGGUCUCUACAGCAGGGUCGGGUGGGGACCGAGAGGCAAGGCUGCCAUCCCCAUUCCUGCCCGCCCUCCGCGACUGAUUUUGGGUAGAUCCCCAAGGGGAGGAAGACGUGAAAGCACUCUACUCUCGAGGGAAGGGCUAGCCAGAUUUGGGGGUGAAUCACGCGGUAGAAACCCUCCUGGCCCCCGCUGCCCCUUAGGACAGUUUCCUUAGGGGACUGACAUUUCUGAUGAGUUCGUUAGGGUGGCCCAGACCCCUGAUCCCGUCUGGCUUGGGUGUGAGCGCAGUUCAGACUCCAGGUCCACCUCCCACCCUCCGAAUGACCUUGUGCACGUUAUUUCAUCGCCCUGGGAUUGUUUUCCAUAAAAUAGGGGCUAAUGAUAGUCUUCGCUUUAUUGGGUGUUUGUGAGGAACUGAAAUUAUAAAAUAGAACGGUGCCUGGGCGCUUGUAAGGACCCAGUAAAUGUUAGCUGUGUUAUUAGGAUUGGCAUUUGAAGAGGUCCCAUCCUCCAAUUGAGCCCGUUUUCCCCUUUAUGAAGUUAUGCUAGGUGCACUGGGAAGCCUGCCGAACCUGACUGUCUUCUAGGUUCUGGUGUCAGAUAGACUGCAGUUGAAAAUCCUGGCUCUUCCACUUCUUGCUGAUUAACAAUGGGCAUUUAAUCUCUUUAAACCUUGUCUUCCUCUUCUCUCAAAUGUGGUUAAAUAUCUAGUUAAUUGGCCCAUUGUAUGAAUUCAUUUGUUCAGUGGACACCUGAAUUGUGUAUAGUGUCAGGCAUAUCAUGGUCACAUCAGUUGCUGUCAGGAUACAGGUAUAUUGCAGGUAAACAGAACUAAGUAUGCAGUAUUAUUAACAGAUGCUGUUCAAAGGAACAUUUUUUAUGUUCUCGUUGGAUUCUCACAACCUUGAAGUGGUUCCCUUGCUUGUCCACAUUUUCCAGAUGAGGAAACUGAAGCACAGUAAAGGUAAAUAACUUGGCCAAAGCCUUACAGCUGAGGCAUGGAAAAGCCAGGGAAGAAUACCAAAGGAUGUAAGACUCAGGGUGGAGUAGAAUUUGGCCUUAUAGAUUUCUCCUGUCUUCAGCGAGACAGUACAGGAUUCUAGAAAGAACAUGGAAUACCAGAUCCUGUAGUCUCAAUACAUUCUUUUCAGAAAAUAUUUAUGCAGAUAUAAUGUACCUGCUAUGUGGACGAUUCCAUUUCAGAUACCGUAGGGAGCAAAACAGCAAAGCUGCUGCCCUUGUGGAGUGUGUACUUUAGUAGAAGACAGAUGAUUGAUCAGUAGUUGAUGUCAGUGGCAGUGUUUGCUGAGAAGAAAAACAGGGCAGUGACAGGGAAUAGAGCAAGCCCAGGGCUGAUGUUCAGGUUAGGGAAGGCUCCCCUGAGAAGGGAUGUUGAACAGGCCGUGAAUGAAGUGAAGGGAAAUGAACAGGUGAGGGAAAAGAAUCUGGGCAGAGAGAAAGCAGGUACAGAGCCUCAGUGUUUGAUGCAUUCAGAGAACAGCAGAAAGGCCCACAUGGCUGAAGUUGGGUGUAUGGUGAAGUGGUGGGAUGUGAGGACUAAGAUGAGGCUAGAUUAGGUGAGGCCUGUGGGCAGGGCAAAGAUCUGGACAGAGCAGUGAAAUGUUCUAAAGUAUCUUUCUGGCUAUUGGGGCAGGAGAUGUGCAGGAGCAGGUAGUCUUAAUGAGAAGCCACUGCAGAACACAGGACCAGUGUUAGCACAUAGAUGGAGGAAGGUGGUUAGAUUCGGGACAUGUCAAGAAGGGCUGAUGAGUUUGAUGUGGUGUUGGUGGGUAAUGUAGAGGGAGGCAGCGAGGAUGAUGGAAGUUUGAUCUCAGCUCUGCCAGUUUGUUCUCUGUGCCCCUGGAGUAGCUCGCAUCUUUGGGCCCAGACCCCCUCAUCUGUAAAAUGAGGAUAAAGAUGAAGAAUCAGCAUCUACCUGGUUGUGGAGGUGCCGUGAAAUGGCAUGGGCUAUAAACUGCAGCAAAUCACCACAAACCAGGUGUCAUAAGACAGCAGAUUUGUCCUGCCACUCUUUGGAGACCAGAAGUCUAAAAUCAAGGUGUUAGCAGGGUUUCCUCUGCAGGCUCUGAGGAUGUGAUAGACAGGGUGGGAAAAUCCAGCUAGGCCUGUGUGCAAGCAUUCCUGUUUCCAGGGCAUGGGUAGGACCCAUUCUGAAGUGGGGGUCUUAUGAUCUACUGUCAGAUGAGGAAUUCCAGAGAAUUUCAUCUGGGGCAGCUCCAAGACAGACUGAGGAAGGCUACAGUUUCUGUAGCUUACCUUGAGAAAGAGAAAUUUUGGUGUCUGCAGCCUGCCUUGAGGAGAGAGUUACAAGGUAGGAACUCUAGAAGAAAAUGAAAAUAUGUAUCAUAAUAUCAUGGGCCACAGGUCAAUCCACUAUGCUAGUGGUAUAUUAGCACUGUUUUGCUGUUGUUUCAUAGAAAUGUUAUGGCAUUGUUAGUUAAUUCAUCAUCACUGUUAGCUAGCAACCUUGGGUUUAAAUGCCUGCUUCAGACCAUCUUAGCUCUGUGACUAUGAGAAGAAACUUUGGCUCCCUGAGCCUGUUUCCCUUCAUAAAAGGGGGACUUUAGAAAAUAGCUCAGACCUCAAGGGCUGUUGUGAGGAUGAAGUGGGAUCUUGGGCGUGAGUGCCUAGCGUAGGACCUGGCCCAGAGUAAGCCUUCUGUGCCAAGGCUGCUGCUGUCCAAGGGCACGCAUAUCUUGUCAGAUGGGCAAAGCAGGGGGCCGCGCGCGGUGUUGGGGAGGCAGGGUGCAAUCUUGAGAAGUGCCACUGAGUAGUGGUGGGCUCGGUGAAACCCAGAGGGUACUCUGGCAUUUGUUGCCUCUGCUACCAUUGUUUUUGUUUUUUGUUUGCUUUUUCCUAUCAUUAUUUUUUAAUGGUCCAUUCGAGGUCAUAGAACACUUGGUAGGUGAUGACUACAUCACUACUGAAAAUCUUUACACAUAGAUGUUUCUAGGAAUUGACCUGUUUCCAGAGCUGUGGAACUGCCUUGAGUUGUGGAUUCCUAACUUUCUUCCCUUUUUUUGU
Sciurus carolinensis (gray squirrel) is the source of this 3082-nucleotide long non-coding RNA. RefSeq lists it as uncharacterized. NCBI's taxonomy places the organism in Eukaryota, Metazoa, Chordata, Mammalia, Rodentia, Sciuridae. The record is from RefSeq and is a predicted model, not a curated record. The transcript is spliced from 3 exons.